This 1773-nucleotide ribosomal RNA is filed under the name Triticum aestivum (bread wheat). RNAcentral describes it as "partial small subunit ribosomal RNA". Lineage: Eukaryota; Viridiplantae; Streptophyta; Magnoliopsida; Poales; Poaceae. The record is from RNAcentral.
AUGGCUGCCAAGAUCACCGCAUGCUUUACCUUCCUAAAGGAAGCUCUGAUCCUCCCCACGCUAAACCCCAAGCUCUUCGCGCCCGUGCUCCUCUUCUUUGCCGUCACCGCCUUCCUUGACCCCUUGGUCCACGUCGUGUUCGUCCAGCCUCUCGGCGAUGGCAUGGCCAGCCGUCUCACCGAGAUCAACAACACCGACCCCUCGAGCGCCGAGUACGGCAAGCUCGUGGAGAAGUUCAUGGAGACGGAGGAGAUGAAGCAGGUUGGUAAGAGGAUGCUCCGCAUCACCAUCGCCCAGUUUACCGUCGGUCCGGCGCUCGGCCUCGUCAAGCAGAUCCUCGCCCUCUUCGCGGCCUCCACGACCUACUCCGGCGACCGCUACUCUCUAGCCGGGCUCCUGAGCGAGCUGGUCAGCGGGAGGAUCAGCCUGAAGGGCCCUUCCAUCACCAUCGCCGUCGUCGGCGCGCUUGACUUCGCAGGGGCAGUCCUGGCCGCGCUGCGUUAUCACGUGAUGGGCGGCCGCUCGGGGGUGCUCUCCGUCCAGGGUCUCGUCUCUCUCCUCGCGCACCUUGCCUCCCUGUGCUUCACCGUCAUCGCGCUGGUGGGCGUCGCAGCAUCUGUGGCCGACAGCAGGAAGUGCCGCGGCGUGCGCGCGCUCCGGCAGGCGUGGCGGCUCGUGACGCGGGUGAGGAGGAAGGAGGGCCUCGUGCUGGUGCUCGUGGCAUACCUCGGGCCUACAGUUGUGGCUCCGUUGCACAGGUUCGCUCUUGGGUAUUCCAAGAGCAGCAUGGCGGCGUGCUUGUGCUUGAUGGCCGUGUAUGCUCUUCUGUCUGGCGCGCAGCAGCUAUUCUCCUUGGCGGCGGCCACGGUGUACUACUACCAAGCCAUGGAGAACAAGGAGGAAGCGCUGAUCCUGCCCACGCUAAACCCCAAGCUGUUCGCACCCGUGCUCCUCCUCUUUGCCGUCACCGCCUUCCUUGACUCCUUGGAAGAUGUCGUGUUCGUCCAGCCUCUCGUCGACGACAUGGGCAGCCGUCUCAUCACGGUCAACAGCACCGACCCCUUGGGCGCCGAGUACACCAAGCUCACGGAGGAGACAGAGCCAGGCGGUACAGAGCUCCUCCUCAUCGCCGUCUCCGAGGUGAUCGUCGCCCUGGCGGUCGGCUUCGUCAAGAAGAUCCUCGCCCUCUUCGCGGCCUCCACGACCUACUCCGGUGGCCGCUACUCGCUAGCAGCGCUCCUGCGUGAGCUGGUCAACGGGAGGAUAAGCCUGAAGGGUCCUUCCAUCACCAUCGCCGUCGUCGACGCGUUUGACUUCGCAUCGGCGGUCCUGGCCGCGCUGAUUCCCACUCCCGCCCUGAUGGGCGGGCUCUCGAGGGUGCUCUCCGUCCAGGGUCUCGUCUCCCACCUCGCGAACCACGUCUCCCUCUGCUUCACCGUCGUCGCGCUGGUGGGCGUCGCCGUGUCGGCGGUCGACCGGAGGUGCCGCGGCAUGCGCGCGCUCCGGCAGGCGUGGCGGCUCGUGACGCGUGUGAGGAAGAAGCAGGGAUUCGUGCUGGUGCUCGUGGCAUACCUCGGGCCUACCGUUGUGGCUCCGCUGCACGGGUUCGCUCUUGGGUAUGCCAAGAGGAGCACGGCGGCGUGCUUGUGCUUGCUGGCGGUGCAUGCUCUUCUGUCUGGCGCACAGGAGCUCUUCUCCUUGGCGGCGGCCUCGGUGUACUACUACCAAGCCAUGGAGAGCAAGGAGGUGAUCGAUGCCUUGUGGUUAUGCUAA